ACAAAUAUGCUGAAAUGGUAGACAGGCUGUUCUUAGGAAACAGUGGCGUUAAGUCUUGUGGGUUCAAGUCCCACUAUUUGUA
Molecule: transfer RNA, 82 nt
Filed under: Cystobasidium sp.
Lineage: Eukaryota; Fungi; Basidiomycota; Cystobasidiomycetes; Cystobasidiales; Cystobasidiaceae
Description: tRNA-Leu
Rfam family: tRNA
About the family: Transfer RNA (tRNA) molecules are approximately 80 nucleotides in length.
Source: RNAcentral